CAGUCGCCACGGUAAUACGUAGGUGGCAAGCGUUGUCCGGAAUUAUUGGGCGUAAAGGGCUCGCAGGCGGUUUCUUAAGUCUGAUGUGAAAGCCCCCGGCUCAACCGGGGAGGGUCAUUGGAAACUGGGAAACUUGAGUGCGGAAGAGGAGAGUGGAAUUCCACGUGUAGCGGUGAAAUGCGUAGAGAUGUGGAGGAACACCAGUGGCGAAGGCGACUCUCUGGUCUGUAACUGACGCUGAGGAGCGAAAGCGUGGGGAGCGAACAGGAUUAGAGACCCCAGUAGUCCCUGUCUCUUAUAC
RNAcentral lists this ribosomal RNA (301 nucleotides) under uncultured bacterium. Its description in RNAcentral is "partial 16S ribosomal RNA". It matches the Rfam family "Bacterial small subunit ribosomal RNA", at positions 509 to 807 of the family's 1533-position model. The record is from RNAcentral.